Molecule: RNA transcript, 3517 nt
Organism: Hevea brasiliensis (rubber tree)
Lineage: Eukaryota; Viridiplantae; Streptophyta; Magnoliopsida; Malpighiales; Euphorbiaceae
Exons: 10
Source: RefSeq, a predicted model, not a curated record
GCCCUUAACGGGUAACCAAGGACGGGUUUGGGUAGUAAAAAUGCACAACGGAUUCGGGUUGAGGCACGUUAUCCUUUGUCAUCUCGGUGAGGGCAAAAAUUUCCGUCGCUGAGAAAAUGUCUUCGAGAUACCGGCGUUUGAUAAAAGUUUCAGUGCUGGUGUCUCCAAUUUUCUCAGUUAAUCAUUUACAACAAUCUGGAGGAGCCAUAAACUUCUGCUCAGCUUCGCAUCACUCAGUCGAUAAUGAAAUAAGUAACAGGAGGAUUUUGGACAAAUGGUUUCAUUCUCAGAGUUAUUUGAGUUCUUCAAAGCUGGGAUAGCAACGGGUUGGAUUUUUGCAAUAAGGGUUCAGGUAAUCAUUUACAACUAUCUAGAGGAGCCAUAAACUUCUGCUCACCUUCCUUUUUAAUUCGUGCGCAUUACUCAGUCGAUAAUGAAAUAAGUAAAAGGAGGAUUUUGGACAAAUGAUUUCAUUAUCAGAGUUACUUUCAGGUACCCAACAAUAUCACAAGUGUCAAGUGGGUCUGCUUCUCAUUUGGCUGAUGGUAUAUUGUCUGUCAUCCAUUCCACCUUUGAUGAGAUUCAAGGCCCAGAUUAUUGUUGGUUAAAUAAGGUUAAGGAAAUAAAUAUUGGUUCAAGAAAGAUGGAACCUUUUUGGUCCUUGCCGGGCAAUUCUUUGAGAAUUCUGAAAUAGUUAUCAUGCUUGAAAAGAUCAAGUCACUUCAGCAGAAAUAUCCUGAGCUCUGUGUUAUGGGCUUUCAUUUUGGAAGUUCUGUUGGAUUUGCCACUGUUUAAGCUUACCUUGUUCAAUUGACACUGGCGGAGUACAUUAUGUUCCCUAUUCUAUUGUCAAACAAGAGCCUUUUAGAGGUGAGAGAUUGGAACUCAAAACAGAGAAGAAAGGUGAGAUGAGAAAAGAAAAGAAUGAGAUGAGAAGAGAAUAAAGAAAUGGGAUGAGAAGAGGAUGAGAUUCGAAGAAGGGAAGAGAGUAUAUUAUUGAAUUGAGUCUUGAAUGAAUCCAUACAGGUAUGAGCUGACCCUUUAUUGUUGAACGCUCCAUUCCUAUGCAACAAUUUAGAUUGAGAACUGGGACAUUGCAGCAAUUUAGAUUGAGUGUCCAAAUCAUUGAUUCCUUGCAAUGUAACCAACUACCCUGCAUGCUGGAAAGUAAUUUUUGAUUGCUGAAAAUAAAAAAAAAUGGAAUUAAAUGUCCUCAACCAGUCAACUCCCAAUAUAAUAGCAAAACUCCACAUGUCCAAUAGCUUCAAGUCAAAUACAAAGGAGUGUUACUGCAUUCCCCAUCUAAAGUCAAGACACAUGUUGCUGCUAGAAAUUUUCCUGUCAUCAGCUACUGUCACACAACAUUUGUAGGCCCUUCAACAACAGAUAACUUCAGCGCCCUUGCCACUCUUGCACUCAAGAAACUGUUGGUACUACCACUAUCUAUUAAUAUCAACAAUUCCUUAUUCUUAUACUGCCCAGAUAUCCUUAUGGUAUGAACCCCAUGACUGCCUUCCAUAUCAUGCACUGACAGAGUAACUUUUUCAUAUACAAUAGGGCCAUGAGAGUUUUCUGUUUACAUUGAUGGCCGGGAAAGAAUUUCUCUCCACACUUAAAAUAAGGUCUGGGUUGUCUAAUGGUAUUUGAAUUAGUGGAAUUGGUGGAAGUAAGUUUGGUUGCAGGUUGGUUGACAGAAGACUGACUAGUGGCAUUGAGGAACUACAUGUGCAACAAAAUGGGAAUAUUGACAAUGGGAGUUCUAGUUUGCACAACUUGAAAAGCACUUGUAUGAGGCCAGUUGAGGACUUUUUCUCUUCUCUGCAAAACUUGCUCCUCUACUUACCAGGUAGAGGCUCCUUUUUUUUUUUUUUUCCCUUACCAUGCAGUUAUAUUUCUUUUUAAGGUAUCAUGGAAGCCAAAUUUUAUUGUAUUGGUGUGAAAAAAAUAAAAACAUCUACUUACUUCUAAGACCAAUAUAAAAAGAGGGAAUGCUUAGAGUAAAGUACUAGUCAAAAUAUGUCUUCAACUUAUGAAUUGGAUGGGUAUAUGAUGAUGGUUGAAAAUUUGUUGUACUCAAAUGGUUUGGAGAUUCUUUUUAUGGAGGUGAAACAAGUUUAUCUUAGGUUUGAAAUAAAAAUAGGCCAAUUCUCAAUAAUCAACCUAUUUGAAGUUAAUAAAAAUUGGUCCAUUUGAUACUUUUCAAGAAUGUGGUAAUUUUUUUUUACUUAAUACGAGUAUUUGAUGCAACGUGAAGCUCAAAUAGAAACACAUUCCAUACACGAGUGAAAAAAAUAGAGAAAAUUUUAUAUUGAAUUUUUAUUGAUAAUCACCUAUCUCCCAAUUACAUGUAAAUAAGGGUAUUUAUAGUGUUUUUAGACUCCUAACCUAAUAGGAAUAUAAAUAUACUUUUUAGGAAAUUUAGAUAAACUAAAAUACAAUAAGAAGAUAUAAACUAAAUAAAAAAACUAUGAAGAAAGAGAUGAUUCUCCUUAAUUUCAAUUAAUCUGUAUAUGGGUAUAUAUAUACAAUUGAUUCUUAUAAUUGUGUUCUACUAAUUAGGAAGAAAUCCUAAAUAAGAAAUCUUAAAUAGGAAUACAAAAUAUACAGAGAAAUAAUAUAGUGAUUAACUUUCCAUAACACUUCCCCCUUAAGUUGGAGCAUAGAUGUUAAUCAUGCCUAACUUGUUACAAAUGUAAUCAAUCCUAAUUCUAUUCAGAGCUUUUGUGAAAAUAUCUCCUAACUGCUCUCCAGUUUUGAUGUGUCUUGUUGAGAUGAUCUGUUGUUAAAUCUUUUCAUGAACAAAGUGACAAUUAAUAUCAAUAUGUUUGGUCCGUUCAUGAAACACUGGAUUAGAAGCAAUAUGGAGAGCAGCUUGAUUAUCACACCACAAUUUUGCAGGUAGGGAGGUCUUAAAACCUGUCUCAUCUAGUAAUUGAAGUAUCCACAUUACCUCACAUACUGAUUGUGCCAUAGCUCUGUAUUCCGAUUCAGCACUAGAUCGAGAAACUACACUCCGCUUUUUGUUUCUGCAAGACACCAAAUUUCCUCUAACAAAAAUGCAAUAUCCAGUAGUUGACCUCCUAUCAACCUUAGAUCCAGCCCAGUCGGCAUCUGAAAAACAUUCAACAUUCAAAUGUCAAUGAUUAUCAUAUAACAAACCUCUUCCUAGAGCGCCCUUCAGAUAACACAAGAUUUGUCCUAAGGCUUCCUAAUGAGCAACAGCUGGGGAAGACAUAAACUGACUUACCACACUCACGGCAUAAGUAAUGUCAGGAUGAGUGACUAUAAGGUAGUUCAAUUUUCCUACCAAUCUCUUGUAUCUCUUUGGAUCUUCAAACAACUCACUAUCCCCUGCUAACAGUUGUAAAUUUAGAGUCAUUGGUGCACUGCAAGGUUUAGCGCCUAAUUUUCCUGUCUCUGUCAAUAGAUCGAGGACAUAUUUUCUUUGAGACAAGAAAAUGCCCUUCUUACUUCUCAUAACUUUAAUACCCAAGGAAUACUUUAACAAUCCCAAGUC